AACUUCGCCAGCGCAGAGGAGGUGCGGCCGUGGUUAACCGUCAACAACGAGAAGAAAGAUUCUGUUGAUUCUUGAUACCGACGCCUAGGAUUGCAAGAACCCACCAAUAAGGCCCAAAACCAGAACGACGCUUAGCUCAAGGUCAAGGUCAGGCCCUAUCACCAAAAUUAAAAUGAAAAGGUCACACCGAAGUGCCCAACAACAAUAAAUGGGCCAGCCUAAAAUUGGAGUUUUAUCUAUUUUUUAAAUAAAAAAUAAACGGACAAGUCCGUUUCAUAAUUACUCACAAAUUGAAAAUCAAAACCAUAGUUAUCAGAACCGAACCGGCAAUCAACCCGGUCAUAUGACUGGAUCACCGGAUCACUGGUUCAACCGGUAGGUCACUGAUUCACCCGGUUGACCCGGUCAUAAUUUAAAAAAAUACAAAUUAUAUAAAUAAGAUUAAAAUUAAGUAUUAAAACUUAAAAUGCAAGUCUUUAAAAACAUAAUAAUAAUCAAAUAUUAAUUUUUAGACAUAACUAAUGAUGCAAAAAGAGAUAAUAAACUAGUUUCUAGUACAAAAUACUUUCACCAUUUAAAUAAACAAGAACAAGCAAAAGAUACCACAAUCGAUAAAUCAAGUCCAAGUGAUCUUAAAUUCGACAUAUAUAUCUUCAUAGGACAAAUUUGGAGCUUGAUCAACAUUUUCCUCAUUUUGAUUUGCAUCUAUAUCUUCCAUAAGAAACACUGCGUUAUGCAGAACAUCAGAAACAAAGAAAGAAGAGUUUGAAGAGAGAGCUACAAGAAACUAGCAAACUAAAUUAACUUCAUCUUAUUCUUCCAUCAAUAAAUCAAUUCUACAUACCUCUUAGAGGGAUGCAAGAGCUUCAUUUAUAACAGAGUUAGAAAAGAGAGAAAGAUUAGAGAUCAGAAUAACAAACCCUAACUAACUAUACCAAACUAAUUUUGUUACUGACCAACUCUCUUAUCUCUUAUCCCUUAACAUACACCAACAAAAGAUUUAGCAUUUUUUAAGCAACACAACAAGGUUCAGUAACAAAUUCAACUCAACUCAGUUAUCCAGCAACAAAUUUUACUUUCAGCAACAACCACAUUUAUGAUAUGUUCAGCAUCAAAUUCAACUUAUAGCUGACAACAAAUUCUACUUCUAGAAUUCUAGCAACAAAUUCAGCUAUGAUAACUAUGACAACUUUCAGGCAGCAACAAAAACUUAAACUAUGAUAACUUUCAGGGAGCAACCAAAAAAAACUCCAAUUCUCCAAAUAUGAUUUACAGCAAAUUAACAUUAGCUAAUCAUAAUUUCAGCAACAAACUCAACUUUCAACAAUAAAUUCAAGAUGUACUAAUAAUUUACAGCAACGAAAUUGAAAGAGGAAUAACAAGGCAAAAGCUGAAACUCACCUGGGCAGAGAGAUGAAGCAAAACUUAACUAAGUGAUUAUUCUGCAAAACAGCACCAAAUUCAAGGUUUCAUAAACUCGGUAAUGAUUUUCGGCGAUGAACAAACUUAAGCUAAGUGAUUAUUUUGGCAUGUCAACAACAAAUUCAAGGUUCAUGAUAAUCAGUAACAAAUUUCAGCAGCACAUUCAACUUUAAGCAACAAAUUACUUUCAGCAACAAAAUCAAAGUGCAUUGAUGCAGCACCAAAAUUGAAGCAGAAAGACCAGGGGAAACUCACCAAAUCGGGUUGCACGAAGGAAGUUGAUGGCGAAGGAGAAGCUGAUGGCGAAGGGAGAAGCUGACGGCAAGGCUCGAAGCAAGAAGACGACAACGAAGGUCAGCCCACCGGGAUCUGUUGCCUCUGCUACCGGCGACGAAGAGCGCAGGGAAGGGAGAGAUCGAGACCAGGUGCGAGACAGAGACCUUGAGAAGCAAGAAGACGACGACCACCACCACCCGAGGUGAGAGACCGAGAGCGCGCGACGAGGUAAGGCCGUGAGAGACUGAGUGUGACGACCGACGAGGUGAGGGGAGCGACGAGUGAGUGACGAAGUGAAGGUGACGCCGUGAGCCACCGUGAGCCGCCGUGAGUGAUGGACUGUCGAGCUCGAGAGAGAAGAGACACAAGGCUGGCUGGGGGUUAGGGGGGUUCCAAUUCCAUUCAGAUUAGGGACAUUAGCCAUUAGGGUUCAUGCUUUCAUUUCAUGCAAAUCAACAGGGGGUGGAGGACAGGAGGAGUGAAACGACGCGCCGUUUCAGGCAUUUUUUAAAAAAAAAACAUGACCCGGACCGGGUUAAAUUAACCGGCCGGGUCACCGGUUUUAAUGAAAAACCGGUCGGGUCAAACAGGUUUUAACCGAGUCCAUUGCCUGUCCAAUUCGACGAGUGGUUUGGCCUGACCAGAUAACCGAAUGACCAGAUUUCCGGUCGAACCAGCCGGAUCGAGCCGAGUUUGACAACUAUGAUUAAAACCCAUGAACAAAUAAAUAAUAAAUGUACUAACUCAUGUAACUCGCAGACUUAGUCAAGUCGGACAUAAACGCGUUGGGCUCAUUCUAGGUGGAAAGCUUACCAUUUGGGCCUUAAUAGUUUUUAUUUGGGUAAGAAUAUAGACAACAUAUAAAAAAGUCUUUCGAUUUUCUCUCUAGGAGAAUGUUUCUCUCAAAAUAAGAAAGUUUUCUAAGAACAUAUGGUUUUUCCUAUUCACACUUAAUCAAACAUCACACAAGCACAUCUUCUGACUUAUCCAGUAUAUUAUACAAAUCCUCAGUACUUCUUCCAGCAAAAUCUAACAUUUCCUAUACAAUAUACACCAGUACACACAAUCAACAAAUACAUCCAUUCUUACACAAUAUCCACCAUUACCCACAAAUCACUAGUAUACAAAUUGCAAAACCAACAAAUACUUGGACAACAAUAUCGUAAAACCUAUUGAGUUUCAAUGGAGAACUUUGGACUUGAAUCCAUAAAAGCAAAAACAAAUUCUUUGCGGAAGACAACACAACAAGAGUUCAGGGCAGACUGCUUGAAUCUAGUUGAAAAAGUGAUCACUAACAAGGAGCUUGCUUUUAAAAUCACCAAAAACACUCUUAUCGGAGUCUGGAAAAAUCCUAAAGGGACAGACUACCAAAGACAUGGAUACAGUUUAAGUAUGAAGGAAUCUUGGAAAGUUAUUGUCUAGACUGUAGUAUUAUCGAUCAUAACAAAAAGGAGUGCAAGAAUCCAACAGUAAUAUCAACUUGGAACCCAAAGGAACCAUGAUAUUUAGCUGGUUUGGAAGUGGCACAAGCAAGAGCGUUGAAGCCAAAAGAAUACAGGGUAAGCACGAAAGAGAGUAACUCAGGGAAGAAUUAGAGAGAGGUGGCACGUGAAGAACAUGAUUGGAGGAAGGGAGGUGAGUCAACACAGGAGACAGCAGGGAAUAAAGCUGGCAGUGCAUAUGAAAAAGAAUGGGAAAUAGAAGAAGAUAGUAUAGCCGAAGCUCCUAGAAGAACUGACAAGGAAGAUCAUAAAGAUGUGAAAAAGGAGAAGAAUAUCCUAGAAGAUCUGCUUGUUAGAGAAACUGAAUCAGAAGAAGUGGAGAGAGAUGCUAAGAAUUGUGUAAAGGAGAAUAAAGAUAUUAAGGGCAGCAAAAGGAUCUACGAGAAGGGUAAAGAAAUGGGUGGGCCAAGUGUGUUAAGAGAGGAAGCUGUAAUUAAAGGUACAUGGGCUGACUUCUACCAAAGGUCCAAUGAAAAUAUUCAUCUCUUUAGAAUUGGUUCACAAGAAGAAGAUAAUAAUCUCAAUAUUGGACAACCACUUAAAAGGCUCAAUAACAACAUGGCAAAGGAGAAAAUGAAAGGAGUUACAAUAGAAAACAAUGCUAUUGAAGCCCAACAUAAUAAUAAAAGGGGUCAUAUGAUUGCAAGCGGAGACCAUUGGGUUAAAAACAGAGAGUUAAAACAGGAUAAAAAGCAGAUAUAUACAAUAGCUGAUGGGGGUGUUUAUUACGUUGAACUUGCAAAUAAAGAUGAAGAAUUAGAGCCCAACAAUAGCAAAGCAUUAGUAGUGGCUACAGAAUAUGAAAUGGAACUUGUACAAGGAAUGGAGAAAAAGCUGAAAUUGAAAAUGAAAAGGGAGGACGAGCAACAAUUGCUGAUGAGAGAUAUGUUCAGAGAGAAAGCUGCCCUACAAGUUUGGAAAGCUGGUAAAAGAAGCAAGCAAUCAUCAAGACCAGCUGGAGCAAUGCCAAUAGAGGAAGACUAGCAAGACAGAGAAGAGAUCAUAGAAGACUCAAUGGCUGAGGAGGCGGGCCUAAACAUGCCCCCAACUCAGCCAUAAGUAUCAUAAGUUGGAACUGUCGCGGGGUAGCAACCCCUGCAACAGUUUCUGAAUUACACAAAAUGUGCAAGCAAAUCAAGCCAGCUUUAGUUUUUCUUAUUGAAACAAGAGCGAAAAAAAAUCUAUUAUGGAAUUAAAGAAAAACUAUAUUUCGGGACUCAGGUUAUAAGGUGUCACAAUUACAGGCCAACAAGAGUAUGCAUUACCAAAAUUGGAGUUCGGUGCGAACCCGUCAAAGUACAAAGCUAGUUCAACAUUUCUGGGCUCGCUCGCAAAUGUAGGAUGAACCUGAUCAAAAUGCUUCCAAGCUUCUCCAUGUAAUGGAUGCAUUAUGAUUCCAUCAUCUCUCUUAUUGUUACUAUGCCAAGUCACAUGAGGGGCCGAACUCAUCGAUGCAUACAAUCAUUUCAGUCAAGGGACUAUGGGUAUGUAGUGCAUCCGUUUCAUAUGAAUUAUCUUUUUCUGGUAUUUAACGAUCUAUUCUCUCUCAACUUGAAACCUCAAUGAUCUAUAAAAUCUGCAUUCAGUUUGGUCUGUAUCCGUCUUGUAGUACAGCAUACAACCAAUUAGACAACAAUCAAUUUUCACCGCAUUUAGACCCAACUUUGAAAUUAGCUUCUUUGCUUCGUAGUGGUUUCAAAGAAUGCCAGUAGACUCGAUAGACACCAGUUCGUUGCAAAGGGUAGCCCACUUAUCAAAGGACUCUUGGGUAUGAAUUGACUCUGAUUUAAUACUCAUCAUCCUAACACAUGUAGACAACUUUGAAUGAACACACUCCUCGUACAAAGGUUUCGCAGCAGAUUCUAACAGAUGAUAAAAUGUCUUCGCUUCUAGGUUAGGCUCUUCUUCAGCCUCUUCCAAUUCCGUAACAUCUGUUGCAUCACAUACCAUCUCAUUGUAUCUCUCUUGGUUAGCCUCUCAAGUCAUGACAUCCAUGUUUAGGUCUCUUGACACCCAAACCCUCAUUAGACAACCAGAUCUAUUCAAAUUAGAGGCAGACUCGGUAAUUCCCUACUCGCCCACUUCUCCAUGUUCUGUCCACAUCCAAUACGCAUCCUUGAACCCGUUACAGUAGAGGUGAAGCGUUAUGUCCACCGAUCCUAACCAUUUAGUCAGUCGACACUUUUGACACGAACACCUAAAAACCUCUUCAGACAUAAACGGUUUCAUGCUGAAAACAUGCACGACAAAUGCAUCAACCGCCCUCAAAGAAUUCCAGUUUUAAACUUUACUAAACUUACCAUGAGUUGAUGACACAUUGGUUUGUUUUUCAGCAAUGAUAAAACAGUACGUGGUAUAUCAGCAUCUGAGAUACUUCUUGUGGCUAUGAACAAGAACACAGAAACAAGAUCAGUGGAAGUUCUCGUCUCAACUCAACCACUGAUUAAAAGUAGACAAGAAAAGAAAUUCAACAUUCAAAGUAAAUAGACAUACAAAAUAAAAUAUCCAGCUUACCAUAUCUGAAGAAACCAUUAACAAAGGAAAAAAAAUGAGUGACAGGAAAUAAAAGAAGAUAAAAAUAAAUCAAACUAAUCAAUCGGGGGAAUACUAUUGCUCUCCGAAGAAAGUAGAGUGCGGCCAUCCUUAAACUCUAAAUCAUAAAUCUUAAAUCAUAGUUUCUGAAUCGAAACUCUAAAUUUUGAACUCUAAAUGCUAAAUCCUAAUCUCUAAACCCUUAAAUUCUAAAUUUUAAACUCUAAAUCUGAGCUAUUGAUACAAAUAUAAUAGAUGGAGAGCUAAGAGUUGUUUAAUAAAUAAGAAGGAUAGUUUAAGGAUGAGCUAAUCAAUAGGCCUGAGCCUAUUACAAGCUUUGAAAAUACCAAAUGCGUCGUAUUUGAAAUUUAAUCACAGCAUUAGCAAUGCAAAAAUGCAUAAACUAGUAAAAUCAAGUAUCAUCUCAAUAACGAAAACAUAACGAAAGAAAAACAACAGGAAGGAAGGGAAACGAAAAAUAACAAGUAAUUACAUUUAACGGAGAAGAAGAGUACCAAAAUGUGUAGACGAAGAGUGAAGCGGGAGAGGGGUAGGGUCAGGGUCAGGGAGAGGAGAGAGAAGUGCUCAUUGUCUCUUUGAAACAUAGCUUCCAGGAAUGGGAUUUGGAUUGAGAGAAGAAGAUGGAGGAGAAGUUGGAGGAAAAUAGGGUUUUGGAGGGUAAGAAGAAGAAGAAGACGAGAGUGAGAGCCUCUGACGUUUGGGUUGAUCUUCGUCGUCUGAGGCAUGGUAAUAUGCGUCGCGCAGAAGAUCCAUAUGGUGUCUGUGUCACAAAAAAUGAAGCAGCCAAGCGUGGCAGGGAACUUCGCCAGCGCAAAGGAGGUGCGUCCGGGGUUAACCGUCAACAACGAGAAGAAAGAUUCUGUUGAUUCUUGAUACCGACGGCUAGGAUUGCAAAGAACCCACCAAUAAGGCCCAAAACCAGAACGACGCUUAGCUCAAGGUCAAGGUCAGGCCCUAUCACCAAAAUUAAAAUGAAAAGGUCAUGCCCAAGUUCCCAACACAAUAAAUGGGCUAGCCUAAAAUUGGAGUUUUAUCUAUUUUUUAAAUAAAAAAUAAAC
RNAcentral lists this long non-coding RNA (6811 nucleotides) under Arachis ipaensis. Its description in RNAcentral is "long non-coding RNA (AIPA_LNC000605)". Lineage: Eukaryota; Viridiplantae; Streptophyta; Magnoliopsida; Fabales; Fabaceae. The record is from RNAcentral.